RNAcentral lists this ribosomal RNA (252 nucleotides) under uncultured bacterium. RNAcentral's name for it is "partial 16S ribosomal RNA". It matches the Rfam family "Bacterial small subunit ribosomal RNA", at positions 524 to 776 of the family's 1533-position model. The record is from RNAcentral.
UACGUAGGUCCCGAGCGUUGUCCGGAUUUAUUGGGCGUAAAGCGAGCGCAGGUGGAUUAUUAAGUCUGGUGUAAAAGGCAGUGGCUCAACCAUUGUAUGCAUUGGAAACUGGUAGACUUGAGUGCAGGAGAGGAGAGUGGAAUUCCAUGUGUAGCGGUGAAAUGCGUAGAUAUAUGGAGGAACACCGGUGGCGAAAGCGGCUCUCUGGCCUGUAACUGACACUGAGGCUCGAAAGCGUGGGGAGCAAACAGG